Molecule: ribosomal RNA, 429 nt
Filed under: Chloroflexota bacterium
Lineage: Bacteria; Bacillati; Chloroflexota
Description: Chloroflexi bacterium partial 16S ribosomal RNA
Rfam family: Bacterial small subunit ribosomal RNA
Source: RNAcentral
UGGGGAAUAUUGCACAAUGGGCGCAAGCCUGAUGCAGCCAUGCCGCGUGUAUGAAGAAGGCCUUCGGGUUGUAAAGUACUUUCAGCGGGGAGGAAAGGAGUAAAGUUAAUACCUUUGCUCAUUGACGUUACCCGCAGAAGAAGCACCGGCUAACUCCGUGCCAGCAGCCGCGGUAAUACGGAGGGUGCAAGCGUUAAUCGGAAUUACUGGGCGUAAAGCGCACGCAGGCGGUUUGUUAAGUCAGAUGUGAAAUCCCCGGGCUCAACCUGGGAACUGCAUCUGAUACUGGAAAGCUUGAGUCUCGUAGAGGGGGGUAGAAUUCCAGGUGUAGCGGUGAAAUGCGUAGAGAUCUGGAGGAAUACCGGUGGCGAAGGCGGCCCCCUGGACGAAGACUGACGCUCAGGUGCGAAAGCGUGGGGAGCAAACAGG